CGACAACAACGAUGCAGAGAUUUUGGAGUGGAGCCAGUGUUUGCGAAUUGUUUGCCAGUGCAGUGUUGUGCCGCUUCUGGCACAGUACACGCGCCAAUCGUUGCCUUCGGGCAACGAGAUGACGUACAAUUUCUUUAUAUUACACAUAAGUAAAACCGUUAGCCAAAAAAACAAAAAUUUUACGAAAUAAAAAAGAAGAAAAAAAAAACUUUUUUUUUUGUCCAUCCUGGCUUUAAACAUAUGCCGUCUCCGAGUUGUCUACUUCAUCCAAAGAAGAAAUUUUUGGUGGUAUUGCUGUCCAACUGGCUUAUGCCCAACAAUUUUUUUUUUUUUAAAUCGCAGUGUUCUUCGGUAUAUAAAGUGCUGGCCCUAAGACAAAAUUCCUUUGGCAUUGAACUGACCUCAGACGAUACACCUAGACUUUUUUUUUUCUUAAUAAAAUUGGAAGUGAUUCCAAAAGCAGAAAAUGUGUAAAUUCAGUCGCAGAUCAUAAUAUGCCUUCGAAGUAAUCAACCACUUCAGUCGUAUACGCUCAGCAGAGACGAUACACAUACUGGGAAUCGGGAAAAAACCUUUCCUAAAUCGUUUGUCCGCCGUUCAACGCGUUUAUGGCUUGAGGAAUUUUAAAUACGUAAAAUAAAUUAACAUAAAAAAUAUUAAAACAAAAAAGUUUAUUAAAACAAAUAUUUCUAAUCAAUUAUCCGAUCCACAUAAAAUAAAAUAAAAAAAAAUAAUUUAAAAAAAAUGGAAAACCAAUAAUUAAAUUCUAUUAAAUGGCUUUGAUAACCGAGUGGAGUGGUAGUGAAGUUGUAUAACGAAGACAUCGUCAUUGAAGUAAUUAUUCUAAAUAUUUAGUGCGUUAAAGAAAAUGACAAAACAAAAAAAAAAUAUUUAAUCAAUCGCAUUCAACGCUAUAAAACCGUAGUCAAACUGAACAUAUUUAAUUAAGUAAACGAAAAUUACACUAAAACAAAAAUGAACUGAGUGGAAAAGUUCGAGUUUAUUUAGCAAGGCUUACAACGUUAAACCAUCCAACACAUUAUAACACAAUUCAUGGUUACGUCUGCUAAUAGAGAGUACUGUUUUAUCGAAAAAAAGAUGGAUCAUCAUUUCACAUUUUAUCGGAACGGAAAAUACCACAGGCCGUUUUACUGAUGCAUCGUCGACCGGCAUGACCAACCGCUCAACGAUAUUGGAUUCAAAUUACUUUCAUGCCGUUAAUCGUUUUAAUUUGUUUGUACGCGAUUCAUCAAUAUAAAAGUGCACUUAAUGACGCCUACACACAAAUUCCACCAACCAACGACAUCAAAGUAUUUUGACAAUGGCACCAGGAAAACUUGCCGAACAGAAAAUCGUUUUUUUGUUCUCACCAGUCAUGGACUUGGAACGGGGUUUGAUGACCUGCUAACCCCGUUAUUCGACAUGAUUAUUCUCCAAUUUUUUUUUUUGUUUAGUGAUGGUGUUUUCUCUAUCCGCGUGAAAUGAUAGAUGCGCCACGUUUUUAUUGUUUGAAAUUUAUUUUUGUUGUUUUUAAGUCAUAGAUUCCCAUUUAGCACAAUACAACGUUUCGUCAUGAUGAAUAAAUUUUAGGUUUUCGGUUCUUUAUAGAGGAGAAUAUUUUAAAAUUUCAACUUUGACUAACAUUGUGUCGUGUGGGGAUUUUAUUCGCAUAAAUUUGAGUUUUUCUUUUAGAAAUUUAAUUGCUGAAUUUGUAUGAAUUUAUUAUUAAAUAAAAUUUGAGUUUUUUUUAUUUGAAAUAAAAAUUCAAACUGAAAAUGCAUACAGAGAAUUCUAGUUAGGGCUUUUGUAGGACUCAUUUCUAUUUUAGUUGUACACCUAAUUAAAUAUAUUAUAUCAACCACAACAUGCAAUACUUAUAUUUAAAAUAUUGUAAAAAUUGUAUUCAUAAUAAGAGCGAAGGUAGCGUUAAA
Long non-coding RNA from Bradysia coprophila, 1931 nucleotides. NCBI's taxonomy places the organism in Eukaryota, Metazoa, Arthropoda, Insecta, Diptera, Sciaridae. The record is from RefSeq and is a predicted model, not a curated record.